AGAGAACUUGUGGCAGUUAUAUGUCCUUAUUGUGAGAAGAAUUUUUGCCUGAGACACCGUCAUCAGUCAGAUCAUGAGUGUGAAAAACUGGAAAUCCCAAAGCCUCGAAUGGCUGCCACUCAGAAACUUGUUAAAGACAUUAUUGGUAAGUAUCUAGAAAGCGUGUUUUGUUGCUUUCCUAGUUCCAGAGCUCCUGCUUCUUAUAUCUACUUUCCAAUUAUGGGAGGCAUCAUUAAUAACCCCAGUGGUAUUCGUAUUAACUUGUAUUUUGAUGAUAUUCUUGUGACAGUAUUUCUUAUGAGGUCUACCUGACCGAUGGAAAUUUGGAAAUUAUUUGGAGGUACUCCACUGUAAGUACUUAUCUCUUUUGCUGAGCCACUUAGAUUAGCUAGUUAACCAUUGGGCUAGAAAUGGUAUUCAUGAGAUUGAAGUAGUCAGCUGCUUUCUCUACAGAUUAAACUCUAAGCCUAGUCAGCUGUUCUGUGAAUGCUGCUGAUAAUAAGAGAUACCAGGAAUGAAUGUAUCUGUGACUUAAAUCAGUCUGCCUGCCAGUAUGUUAGCUCAGAAUUUUUAUUCCAUAUUAAGGAUAGUACCUUUAUUACAAUCUUGCAUAACCAAAUCUUAAGGUUGUCUGUAGAAGCAUUAAUGACUGCUUUAGGUUAAAUAGGCUUAAGUUGAAAAGAAGCACAUUAUAGUGGAUUUUUUGAUGUGGAGAUUGCCUAGAUCAAUCUCAAUGAUAUUUUUCCAUUGACAAUGUAAAUACAAUACCUAUACAAUGAAUGUGGUCUCUGUAUAUCUCUCUUGUGUGUAAUUUAUAUAUGUUUCUGAGCCAUAAUUAAUAAGUGUAUUAUAAUAAAAUUCUAUUUGUAAUGUGAAAGUUUUAUGUGAUUACAUGCUUACACUUCUUAGAUUCCAAGACAGGAGAAACAGCAAGUAAACGAUGGAAAGGUGCCAAAAAUAGUGAAACAGCUGCAAAGGUUGCAUUGAUGAAAUUAAAGAUGCAUGCUGAUGGCGAUAAGUCAUUACCACAGACAGAAAGAAUUUACUUUCAGGUUUUCUUACCUAAAGGGAGCAAAGAGAAGAGCAAACCAAUGUUCUUUUGCCACCGAUGGAGCAUUGGAAAGGCCAUAGACUUUGCCGCUUCUCUAGCCAGGCUUAAAAAUGACAAUAACAAAUUUACAGCUAAGAAAUUAAGGCUGUGUCACAUUACUUCAGGAGAAGCCUUACCCUUGGAUCAUACUUUGGAAACCUGGAUUGCUAAGGAGGAUUGUCCUUUAUAUAAUGGUGGAAAUAUAAUCUUGGAAUAUCUUAAUGAUGAAGAACAAUUCUGUAAAAAUGUUGAAUCUUACUUGGAAUAGUCAUUCAAAGAUUCAAGUCAGAAAUCACAGGGAAAAUUCUAUUACAUGUUUAAGUCCAUUUAUUUUACUACAAAUACUAUUUUUGUAAUUUUUAAAAGUUGCUUUUUAACUUAUUUCCCCUUAUGUCACAUUUUAAAUUAUGAGUUUUCUAUUAGAGUUUUUUGGUUUUAAGUUUAAUUGUGUACGGAUCCUCAAUUAUUAGCAAAUUCUUAUAUUUAAUUAGCUUUCAUUAGUUUAUGCUGUAGUGACAACAACAAAGAUGUAUUUCCUGGUGGGGGAUGUCAGCUGUUGAUUGGCUGUGACACUGCUUUGUGUCAUCUUCUUACCAUGAUCAAAGGCAAAGGAAGGGAUCUCUUUUGGGACAUUGUGAUUGUUUUAGCAGAGAGAGAAAGAGAUGAAAUACACUUCGGUUUUCUCUUAAAAGAUGCAUGUAUCAUACGUGCUUUAAGCAAGUCAUGUGGCCAAGCCUAGCAUCAUGGAGCCAGAAAGUAUAGCCUUGCUGUCUGUCUACAUCAUGAUGUAUAAAUUGAUAUAUCUACAUGAAUUAUAGAAACUUAGAAGUGAUCUUUAUUCAGUCUUAUAAUUUUUACAUGAAGAAUCUUAGGCCUAGGAGGAGAAAAUGAUUUUCUUUCUAUUACCUAACUAGAUUGGGGCAUAUUUCUGAUAAAGACCCACCUCUAGUGAGAUUCAUCUUUUUUGUUUGUGUGACUAUAUUCCAUAGAGAAGAAAGAUGGGAUAGCUCAACUUCAUUAUAUACCAAAGCAAAACACAUGCCAAAUGAUGACUACAUUUUACCAACAUAUUUAGACGAGUAUUCUUGACUAGUGUUUACUAUCUAUACCCCCAAAACUACUACUAUAUAGACAGAAUGGAAAGUAUUUCUAUUUGUCCUUUUUUUGUUUUCUGUUCUAAUUGUCAGGGACAUAUGUAGUGGCUAUAGGUUUACUUAAAAGGAAUAAAUUUGGAAUGCUCAUUUGGUUUAUUUCCUUUCUAAUUCUUCAUAUUAUUUUUAUGUGAGGAAUGGAGAUAAUUUCCAACUUUUAUUAUGUUCUUGUACUUUCAUUCAUUAGCAUAGUUAUUUGAGUUCCCACUAAAUGUAGGGAUUUGUCCUAAUUGCCAUGAUUAAUACAAUGAUGAUAUGUAUACAUACAGGUAUACCUUGGAAAUAUUGUGGGUUCAGUUUCAGACUACCACACAAAGCAAAUAUUGGAGUAUAUUGAGCCAGACAAAUUUUUUUUUGUUUCCCAGGGCAUAUAAAAAUUAUGUUUACACUAUACUAUAGUCUAUUUAAUGUGCAAUAGCAUUAUGUCUAAAAAAUGUAUAUACUUUAAGUAAAAAAAUACUUUAUUGCUAAAAAAUGC
Molecule: long non-coding RNA, 2719 nt
Filed under: Homo sapiens (human)
Lineage: Eukaryota; Metazoa; Chordata; Mammalia; Primates; Hominidae
Description: non-protein coding lnc-ZFAND1-1:11
Source: RNAcentral